AACAACACAUUCUUAGAUUAUCACCAGGGGCCGUUCAUAACCCUAACCCAAAUUCCGCAACAGCUUAAUCUAACAUCCGCUUGAUCUUGAGCUGUUCUUCCAACGAUUUUACACACUAAACCCAGGUUUUAGUGAUCUAUAGUGAAGAAGUAAACGGCAAAUGAAUCUACAAUCAAAAGUUUGGAAGAGGAUAUACACAAGAUUGGAGUCGAUGUGGUGGAUUAUAUCAAAGGGGCAGUUGGAAACGCAAAGCAUAUAGGACCAUGGGGUAUGGUGGGGCUUGGGU
Helianthus annuus (common sunflower) is the source of this 286-nucleotide long non-coding RNA. RefSeq lists it as uncharacterized. NCBI's taxonomy places the organism in Eukaryota, Viridiplantae, Streptophyta, Magnoliopsida, Asterales, Asteraceae. The transcript is spliced from 3 exons. The record is from RefSeq and is a predicted model, not a curated record.